RNAcentral lists this ribosomal RNA (497 nucleotides) under uncultured bacterium. RNAcentral's name for it is "partial 16S ribosomal RNA". It matches the Rfam family "Bacterial small subunit ribosomal RNA", at positions 28 to 507 of the family's 1533-position model. The record is from RNAcentral.
GAUGAACGCUGGCGGCGUGCUUAAUACAUGCAAGUCGAGCGAACGGACGAUGAGCUUGCUUCUCUGACGUUAGCGGCGGACGUGUGAGUAACACGUGUAUAACCUACCUAUAUUACUGGUAUAACUUCGGGAAUCCGGAGCUAAUACCGGAUGAGAUUUUGAUCCGCAUGGUUCGUAGGUAAAAUACGGUCUUGCUGUCACCUAUCGAUGGAUACGCGCUGCAUUAGGUAGUUGUUAAGGUAACGGCUUACCAAGGCAACGAUGCAUAGACGACCUGAGAGGGUGAUAGGCCACACUGGAACUGAGACACGGUCCAGACUCCUACGGGAGGCAGCAGUAGGGAAUCUUCCGCAAAGGGCGAAAGCCUGACGGAGCAACGCCGCGUGAGUGAUGAAGGUCUUCGGAUCGUAAAACUCUGUUAUUAGGGAAGAACAUAUGUGUAAGUAACUGUGCACAUCUUGACGGUACCUAAUCAGAAAGCCACGGCUAACUACGUG